UGUUCUGGAGGCAGGUGAGGGGAGGGGGGAGGCAGUGACGGUUGGGGUCCCUGUGAGGAGAAGGUGGAUGCGGGUCCCCAGUGGAGGGAGCUGGUCGAUGUGACGGAGGGGAGGGACCCAGGGAGAUUUUCAUAGGCGUUGUUAGGAGGGUUGGACGGGUUCAUCCUGGCAGUUCCUUCCAUCCGUUUGUCUUCUGCAGCAUUGACCAUCCUGUUGGAACAUGAACAUGUUGGAAUAUGAUGUAUACACAUUUGUGAGGCCUCACCCAAACAUGAAGCCAGCAGUGUGAAAUGGAUGCCCUAGGAAUGCUUCUGCAAGUGAAUUCUUAGGAUGUACAUCAACAAGGGUGGAGGAGGCAACUCUUAAAGGGGUUCCCUGAUCUGCGCUUGCUGACCACACCCUAUAAUGCAAUACAUGUGCCCUAGCAAUCCCCAGGGUGUGCAGGAUUGGGAUGGAGAAGGCCUGCUUGCAGAGGAGUUCCUGAGGCGCGCAGGAUCAGGCCCCUGAAGCUGCAGAAAUUCCUGCCUGGAGCUGCUGAGGAGCGCAGGCAGCUCCAGGCUCCUUGUGCUCUCCUGCCAUAAAGCAAACAAACAUCUUAUGCAAAAAAUCUAUUGUCAUGUAUAGUUAUGGUGCAACUAGAAGCAUGGGCAUCUGUUUGCUUGGGUUUUGUACUGCCAUAAAACUUUUAAGGUGCUACAAAGGUGACAUCUGUUUCCAGCCAUACAGUCUUGGAGGACAUAUUCUUGUAAACUGAUUUAUUUGCAUUGAAUUUAAACCCUGGAAGAUGUUUGUUAUUUCUUGAUUUUGUAGUAUGGAGAACUGUCUUUAA
Gavialis gangeticus (Gharial) is the source of this 829-nucleotide long non-coding RNA. RefSeq lists it as uncharacterized. NCBI's taxonomy places the organism in Eukaryota, Metazoa, Chordata, Crocodylia, Gavialidae. The record is from RefSeq and is a predicted model, not a curated record. The transcript has 3 exons.